Brassica napus (rape) is the source of this 80-nucleotide small nucleolar RNA. The record is from RefSeq and is a predicted model, not a curated record. Lineage: Eukaryota; Viridiplantae; Streptophyta; Magnoliopsida; Brassicales; Brassicaceae.
CAGAAUGAUAAAACCGGGAGAAGCUGCACCAGACUGUCCAGAAUAGGAAGCAGCAAAGUAUCUGCCGGAACCAUCUGCCA